This is a long non-coding RNA of Talpa occidentalis (Iberian mole), 788 nucleotides long. RefSeq lists it as uncharacterized. The transcript has 3 exons. Lineage: Eukaryota; Metazoa; Chordata; Mammalia; Eulipotyphla; Talpidae. The record is from RefSeq and is a predicted model, not a curated record.
GAUUCGGGUCUGUGAGUGCUGUCCUGACAGAUAAAUUGGUUGGAAUUCAAUUGUCUGUGACAAGAGGGCUAGCUUCCUCGAUUGCUGUCUGCCUGGGACUGCGAGGAGCUUGGGAGGCCAGAGCUUGCUUGAGAACUGCUUCUGCUAGUUCCCUGCCAUGGAGCCUCCCACCUCCAGCAAGAGAUGGGGAGUAGAUGUGACUCUCUCAGGCUGGUUGACCGAGCUGCUCUAAGGCCCUGUUUAUCUCCAAGCCCCAGAUUACCUCACCCAUGAAAUGCCAACCAUGAAGGGGCAUGGUCAAGAUGAAGCAAAAGGACACAGCAUUUGCCAAAGGAUUGUUUGCAUUUCUGCAGUGAGUGAGGGACUCAGAACAGUUGAAAAAUAUUCUACAAGUGAUCCAUCCAGGAGGCAGCUGAUAUGAGCUUUGAACUCGGGUCUUUCUGCCUCGUCUCCAGAGCUGCUGCUUUCUCCUUCCCCGGUGUAUGGAGCCUGGGUUUCCCAUUCUGUUUUAUUCAACUCUGCCACUGCAGUGCCAGGAAACCGGCCAUCAUUUGCAUGUGUGUUCAGGAAUGGACAGCAGUUUCUGGCCCUCCGGGAAUUUGCCAGGUGACCACUGGCUCCCUGUAUGCUCCUCCCAGGCCUCAGUUUCUACAUCUGUAGAAUGGUCCCCCAGUCACCUGCUGCUCAUGGGUCCCAGGAAAGAGAUGUUGGGGUGUGGAUGCUAGACCCUUGAACAGGUCUGAGCUCAAGUCCAGCACUGAUUGCAAUCACCCACGUUUGCCACAAGU